Molecule: ribosomal RNA, 523 nt
Filed under: uncultured bacterium
Lineage: Bacteria
Description: bacterial SSU rRNA
Rfam family: Bacterial small subunit ribosomal RNA
Source: RNAcentral
AUUCGAUGAUACGGAGAACCUCACCCGGGCUUGAACUGCAGGGGAACGAUCCCAGAGAUGGUGAGGUCAGCAAUGACUCCUGUGGAGGUGCUGCAUGGUUGUCGUCAGCUCGUGCCGUGAGGUGUCGGCUUAAGUGCCAUAACGAGCGCAACCCUUUUCUCUAGUUGCCAUCAGGUAGAGCUGGGCACUCUGGAGACACUGCCACCGUAAGGUGUGAGGAAGGUGGGGAUGACGUCAAAUCAGCACGGCCCCUACGUCCGGGGCUACACACGUGUUACAAUGGGUGAUACAGAGAGUUAGUCGUUCGCAAGAACGGUUUAAUCAAGAAAGUCAUCCUCAGUUCGGAUUGGGGUCUGCAACCCGACCCCAUGAAGCUGGAUUCGCUAGUAAUCGCGCAUCAGCCAUGGCGCGGUGAAUACGUUCCCGGGCCUUGUACACACCGCCCGUCAAGCCAUGAAAGCCGGGGGCGCUUGAAGUCCGUGACCGCAAGGAUCGGCCUAGAGCGAAACUGGUAAUUGGGGCU